RNAcentral lists this ribosomal RNA (654 nucleotides) under uncultured bacterium. RNAcentral's name for it is "SSU rRNA". It matches the Rfam family "Bacterial small subunit ribosomal RNA", at positions 245 to 915 of the family's 1533-position model. The record is from RNAcentral.
CUGGUUGGUGGGGUAACGGCCUACCAAGGCGACGAUCGAUAGCUGGUCUCAGAGGAUGAUCAGCCAGACUGGGACUGAGACACGGCCCAGACUCCUACGGGAGGCAGCAGUUAGGAAUUUUGGGCAAUGGGCGCAAGCCUGACCCAGCAACGCCGCGUGGGUGACGAAGGCCUUCGGGUUGUAAAGCCCUUUUCUGAGGGAAGAUGAUGACGGUACCUCAGGAAGAAGCACCGGCUAACUACGUGCCAGCAGCCGCGGUAAUACGUAGGGUGCGAGCGUUGCCCGGAUUUAUUGGGCGUAAAGGGCGCGUAGGCGGUCACGCACGUCCGUUGUGAAAUCGCUCGGCUCAACUGGGCGGGGUCAGCGGAUACGGCGUGGCUGGAGCAAGCUAGGGGGCAAUGGAAUUCCCGGUGUAGUGGUGGAAUGCGUAGAUAUCGGGAGGAACACCAGUGGCGAAGGCGGUUGCCUGGAGCUUUGCUGACGCUGAUGCGCGAAAGCGUGGGGAGCGAUCCGGAUUAGAUACCCGGGUAGUCCACGCCGUAAACGAUGCGGACUAGGUGUCGGGGGUAUCGACCCCCUCGGCGCCGCAGCUAACGCAUUAAGUCCGCCGCCUGGGGACUACGGCCGCAAGGCUAAAACUCAAAGGAAUUGACG